RNAcentral lists this ribosomal RNA (458 nucleotides) under uncultured bacterium. RNAcentral describes it as "partial 16S ribosomal RNA". It matches the Rfam family "Bacterial small subunit ribosomal RNA", at positions 338 to 795 of the family's 1533-position model. The record is from RNAcentral.
CCUACGGGUGGCAGCAGUGAGGAAUAUUGGUCAAUGGGCGAGAGCCUGAACCAGCCAAGUCGCGUGAGGGAGUACUGCCCUAUGGGUUGUAAACCUCUUUUGUCGGGGAGCAAAAGCCGGACGUGUCCGGCUGUGAGAGUACCCGAAGAAAAAGCAUCGGCUAACUCCGUGCCAGCAGCCGCGGUAAUACGGAGGAUGCGAGCGUUAUCCCGAUUUAUUGGGUUUAAAGGGUGCGCAGGCGGAUUUUUAAGUCAGCGGUAAAAUCGUGGGGCUCAACCCCAUCCAGCCGUUGAAACUGGGGAUCUAGAGUGUGCGAGAGGUAUGCGGAAUGCGUGGUGUAGCGGUGAAAUGCAUAGAUAUCACGCAGAACCCCGAUUGCGAAGGCAGCAUACCGGUGCACAACUGACGCUCAGGCACGAAAGCGUGGGUAUCGAACAGGAUUAGAUACCCGGGUAGUC